AACGUAGGUCACAAGCGUUGUCCGGAAUUACUGGGUGUAAAGGGAGCGCAGGCGGGUAUGCAAGUUGGGAGUGAAAUACAUGGGCUCAACCCAUGAACUGCUCUCAAAACUGUGUAUCUUGAGUAGUGCAGAGGUAGGCGGAAUUCCCGGUGUAGCGGUGGAAUGCGUAGAUAUCGGGAGGAACACCAGUGGCGAAGGCGGCCUACUGGGCACCAACUGACGCUGAGGCUCGAAAGUGUGGGUAGCAAACA
RNAcentral lists this ribosomal RNA (251 nucleotides) under uncultured Faecalibacterium sp. RNAcentral describes it as "partial 16S ribosomal RNA". It matches the Rfam family "Bacterial small subunit ribosomal RNA", at positions 524 to 774 of the family's 1533-position model. The record is from RNAcentral. Lineage: Bacteria; Bacillati; Bacillota; Clostridia; Eubacteriales; Oscillospiraceae.